AUCCCUUCUUGGCUUUUUGGCUUAGAUCACAUGCAAUGUCUGUCCUCCUCCAUUUAAUAUUGGAUAUUGCCUCUCCAGACAAUAUAUUAAAUGACUUUUCGGAGCAAAAAGAUGUAAUAGGAGCUUGAUCUGUCCACACCAUGCACCAAUUUGGUAUUGCAGGAUCUCUAAGUGUGGUUAGCGCUUU
This is a small nuclear RNA of Dipodomys ordii (Ord's kangaroo rat), 187 nucleotides long. Its record names the gene U2. It matches the Rfam family "U2 spliceosomal RNA". Rfam says of the family: U2 is a small nuclear RNA (snRNA) component of the spliceosome (involved in pre-mRNA splicing). Complementary binding between U2 snRNA (in an area lying towards the 5' end but 3' to hairpin I) and the branchpoint sequence (BPS) of the intron results the bulging out of an unpaired adenosine, on the BPS, which initiates a nucleophilic attack at the intronic 5' splice site, thus starting the first of two transesterification reactions that mediate splicing. Lineage: Eukaryota; Metazoa; Chordata; Mammalia; Rodentia; Heteromyidae. The record is from Ensembl.